RNAcentral lists this small RNA (100 nucleotides) under Mucilaginibacter oryzae. RNAcentral's name for it is "Flavo-1 RNA". The record is from RNAcentral. Lineage: Bacteria; Pseudomonadati; Bacteroidota; Sphingobacteriia; Sphingobacteriales; Sphingobacteriaceae.
CUCUAUCCCCCGCGUUAGGGAUAGUAGUGGAAAGCCCGGAGCGUACGGUGGACUUGUGUAAGGGCAAGGCGAGGACUUGGAACGGAUAGCCCGGGCCGCA